Non-coding RNA from Meleagris gallopavo (turkey), 413 nucleotides. Lineage: Eukaryota; Metazoa; Chordata; Aves; Galliformes; Phasianidae. The record is from RefSeq and is a predicted model, not a curated record.
ACAUUGGCUUGCUUUACCGACCAGCACGCUAAUCGUUCGAUCUCCUUUAAUGCCUGUGCUGUUCCGAUAGGGGCUAUUAUGGAGGCAAAAAUACGCGCCAUAGCGCCCCAUAACCGGACCUUGUCCCCACAGUCCUCGGUCAGGUGCUGUAUUGAUAUUUUGUGCCUACCCCCCACAUUCGAAUUCGAUAUUUUUAACCACUCUGAGAGAUUCGGGGACAAGAUGGUACAGUAGAUGGCACAGAUAUGUAUCUACUUCUUUUGGAGUCUGGGCUGGAACUUGUGCUGGACACCAUGUGGAACUUGUGCUGGACACCAUCUGAGGAACUUGGAUGUCUUUACGAAGGACAUAACAGAGCAAUAUAGUAGAUGUGUUUCAUGAUGGACAAACAAUAAAAGCCAUGUUUCUGGGAA